CUCUUCCAGGAUUGGCUGUCCCUUCAUAACCAUAAGAUAAUUGAAACGGGGGGGGGGGCAAGGUUAAAAAAAACUUUUUUUUUUUAAUCAGCCAGAGGUUAAUGCAAGUGUUUAACAGAUGCUUCACUAUUAAAAUAUUUCCCCCCAAGUCUCAAAUAUUGAAGAAUCUCGAAUCAGGUAACCGAGCAAGAAGCGAGCAGAAGCCUAAUGCAGUUUUGUGAGGGGGAUCGAGGACUGAGCAGCAGGCGCGAGGACCCCAAGAAGGGGUGGCUGGGAGCGCGCGAGUUCUUUUUGCGGAGGAGGAUACACCGCGCGGCCGGGGAAGGGUGCUCCUUUGACCUGGCACAGGGACACCAGCCCCAUCGGAGACUUUGGAAGAUUUCAAAGUGCUGCUACCUCGAUUCCCCGAAUCUGUGGCGUGGACGGUAUCGGUGUUCUCCUGGUUUAACUAGCCUGUUUGGUGAGUAACUGAAUAUUUUUUACAGCGUGUUCAGAG
Molecule: long non-coding RNA, 496 nt
Filed under: Marmota marmota marmota (Alpine marmot)
Lineage: Eukaryota; Metazoa; Chordata; Mammalia; Rodentia; Sciuridae
Description: lncRNA (ENSMMMG00000014136.1)
Source: RNAcentral